GAAAACAUGGCAAGGAAGUAAAGAUUAUUGUUCUUCCCAUGAUUCCAGACUUCUUAAGAUAGAAAGCAAGGAAGAACUGGAUUUCAUAUUAUCAUUGUCAUGUCGCUUGUGGAUUGGAUUAUCCCGUAAUGCAGUGAAUAGGACCUGGGUGUGGGAGGAUGGUGCAGCACUUCCCACUGACUUGUUUCAAGUCAGUGAAAAUUACUAUGAAGGGGACUGUGUGGUUUUGGAAGAUGGCAAAGCCCAAUCCUAUGGAUGCAUACAUCAUAAUCGUUGUGUUUGUAAGAAAAAAA
Long non-coding RNA from Mauremys reevesii (Reeves's turtle), 293 nucleotides. RefSeq lists it as uncharacterized. Lineage: Eukaryota; Metazoa; Chordata; Testudines; Geoemydidae. The transcript has 3 exons. The record is from RefSeq and is a predicted model, not a curated record.